Peromyscus maniculatus bairdii (prairie deer mouse) is the source of this 2975-nucleotide non-coding RNA. The record is from RefSeq and is a predicted model, not a curated record. Lineage: Eukaryota; Metazoa; Chordata; Mammalia; Rodentia; Cricetidae.
CCACUCCCUACCAACAGAACACAAUCCAUAACCCUGGGUCUUGAGACUCUACAGUGGAGUCCUACUUUGUUGAGGUGUGAAGAAAGCAUGCAGGAGCCAGGUACUUGGGACUGAGUGGCUUCCAGAACAGAGCCUUUCCUCUGCCACACAAAGCUGCUGAGAGGCUGGCUCAUUUCCAGGCUGAGGCAAAGAUCUAGCAGAGAGGGAGAUGUGAGCCAGAGAGGAAAGCAAGGCCCAGCCAAGGACUCUGCCUCGAAAUGGGGACAACCCUUCUAAGAUGGAAAGACCAGAAGGAAUAUAUCUGCUCUGUGUGGUACCAAGAGAAGAUAGAAUGGUGUCAUGUAAUGGGCCAGGUCCCCACACCUCCUGUUCAGGGACUUCGCUGAGACGUAAGUAUAGUCACAUCCAUUUAAUAGAUAAGGAUCCAGAACUUUCCUGAGAAGUCAGAGCUAGCCAGGGGGGCAGUUCAGGGAUCCAAAUCCAGUUCCUCAAAGAUAGAGGCCUAGAUCCUCUGCCUUGAAUUUAAAUCCUUUUCCAUGGCCCACAGAUUUCUAGAAAAAAAUUAGCAUGCCCUUGACUUCCCACUCAUGCACAGAUCACCCCAGAGUCUACUUCCAGGACUUAAAACCUAGAGGUUUCCCCCACAGGUCUGAGUCCCAAAGACGCAGCCAGCAGAGGCUGCCUAAACCCUCCUCUUGACAAUCUCGCUGGCAGAAUCCCAGAGCUGCAGAGCUGAGGGAUUGAGGAAGAAGGCUUUGAAGUCUCCCUCAUAGGGAGCUGCAGAAAGCGGCUUGUUGUCUUAUGCAGAGAGCAGUUGAGGAUAUCAAAGGGAAGAUAGGAUGUUAAAUUUGAGUGAUCAAUGUUUAAUAGUCAUGGUUGUAAGCUGUCACGGGGGAUGCACUGGGUGGGGAGCCUCACAAGUUGCAGGAUUUGAGCUACCAGUGCUGUAGGCUGUGGAGGAGCCCUCUGGCAUCCCUGUGAGCAGGGAGAAUGGAUGAAGAGGUACAGGGGUGAGCCCACACCCCUCUACCUGGCUGCUUAUGUGAGAGGGGUCGCCUAGAAGAAGGCCAUGAUCAGGGGGAAAGUGAACACAUAAACUCUGCCCAAGGAGCAAUCAGUCACACAGAUGCUGGCUUCUCCUUAUCAGGAUGGUCAAGGGCAGCUGUGUUCCAGCACCCAGCAAGGCAGAGUGGGGUCCACCCUGGGCUUAAAGGGACUUGAAGAUCUAGGUCUUGGAAAUUUUGCCAGGGAAAACGUUGACAUUCCAUUGAAACUUCUGCGGGAAAUUCCAGACUAAGGGCAGUAGGAGGAGAUUGUGUGGACUCCAGGAGAGGGUGAUGCUAGGGAGAGAUGGGGCCUUCCUCUGCAGGGCAGUCCUGAGGAGCAGUGGAGUAGCUCCUUCCAAAUAUCCUAACCUCCAUGAUGUCUGUCACCUUUCCUUUCACAGAAGGAGCUCGGAGGAAUGUCAGCUCCCUUGUGUUGUGGUUUGAAGACCCUAGCAGAUGGGGGGAGCUACCCCAGACCAGGCCCUCUGUCACCUUCAUGGGUUGACAUGGCAGGGAACUCAGCUCUGACCCCUCCCCCUCUGGAGCUCCCAGGCAUGCAGGGCUGUGGAGGGGCAGGGCUGAGGACCAGGAGGAGCGCUCCCUAAAAGCUUUCUUGGCUGAAGAGCAGGAGACAAGCUGGGCUGUCCCCACAGGCAGCCCUCAUCUGUUCCCAAAUUCGGGCAUCCCAAGAGAGCGUCAGGAAAGGCUUAGAGGAGUGGGGAUGUGGACUGACGGGCUAACAAGUCAGGAAACCUCAGCCUCAGUGCCUGGCUAGGCAGGGGCCGCCAGACCUCACAUGGCUGCCUGCCACCUCCUGAGCAAAACACAAUUUCACGACUCUUUGGGGGAUAAAGGAUUUUAUUUACCUCUUUUCAAAAGCUUCAGAAUUCUUCCUGAACAUCAAAUAACUCCUGGCAAACACAUCCCUGAUGAGGAACAUGAAGUGAAACAGAACCAGAUGGGCUGACUCGCUCUGGGCUCUGGGCUCGCACGGAGGAGGAAGGGCAGAUCUCACUCACAGUGAGGCUGGGCUGUGGGCCACAGGAAGUGCAUCGGGAGGGGGGCACAGCCUUCCAGGCAGGGUGGGGGACAAAGUCCCCUGGACCUUGCCGGAGAUGGAGUCACACUGCCUGCCAUCUGGCUUUGUUGGGAAGAGAAAAGAAGUGGGGCUUCCGGCAGCCUGUUGGUGGCACCCCAGCAGUGUGGAUCUUGCCAAAACCUGGCAUCUAAGGCACUGGGGACCCAGUGGACCCUGAAAGGUAAGUUAGUGUCAUGUGAUGGGAAGAUGGAGUAGCCAGUGUAUUUAGAGGCCUCUAACCCUCCUGAGGACACUGCUAACUGUCCAAACAGUCACUCAUUUUGUCUUUCCUGAACUGGUUCCAGUCGGCUGAAACACAGCAUUUCCCAGCCUCUCAAGAGGAGGCACAGCGGCGGCAGGCCUGACCAGCGGCAAGCAGGGUCCACAGGGACGGCUGUGAGCUUCACCUGGCUCUUCCUCCAGACAUCGCUCCUUUCUUGGCACAUCCUCGACCCCCAGGAGGGAGGCUGCCGCUGGAGACGAGCUGACCAAGGCUGGUGGGACAGGAUGAAGCAGCCUGGGUCCUCCAAGCUCUGUAGAGCCACUGCCUCAGCCUUGAACAUCUCCAGCAUUGUGCCUGUCGGUAAGGCUGAACUGCUGUGGGGCUCAGCAGACAGUGUCACGGUUCUCUGUGGAAUAUAGUCCAGAGCGAUCCUGGCACCAGACCAGUGUUCUCAGUCCCAGGUGGGCAGUCCCAGAAAUUCAGACUCACGUAUGUGCUACACCUGCGCUAAACUCGUAUGCUCCCUAGACUCUGUAGCUAGAGUUUUCCUGCCUUGCCCACAGUCAGGACAAAUCUUUGUCACCCGCCAGUCCCACAGCUGCUCAGACCCAACCAAGUAAACACAGAA